ACGACCUUACUUGAACAGGAUCUGUUCUAUAGGCUCGUACCGCUGCAUCCUUGACUAAUAAGGAGGCAAGCACUUAAGCUUGGUUGAUGACACAAGGCCUGUGGGCCAGAGCGUGAUUAACGGCCGGAUUUGCAGUAUCUAAUGCAUGAUCUAUGGCUGUAGAUGAUCGUUUCUGGUCAGCCUUAGCCUGGCUAGAGUGGCCCAUAGGUUGUCUGACAGGCU
Molecule: small nucleolar RNA, 222 nt
Filed under: Setaria italica (foxtail millet)
Lineage: Eukaryota; Viridiplantae; Streptophyta; Magnoliopsida; Poales; Poaceae
Description: snoRNA Plant_U3
Rfam family: Plant small nucleolar RNA U3
About the family: Small nucleolar RNAs (snoRNAs) are involved in the processing and modification of rRNA in the nucleolus.
Source: Rfam by way of RNAcentral